RNAcentral lists this transfer RNA (71 nucleotides) under Loxodonta africana (African savanna elephant). It matches the Rfam family "tRNA". Rfam says of the family: Transfer RNA (tRNA) molecules are approximately 80 nucleotides in length. Their secondary structure includes four short double-helical elements and three loops (D, anti-codon, and T loops). Lineage: Eukaryota; Metazoa; Chordata; Mammalia; Proboscidea; Elephantidae. The record is from Rfam by way of RNAcentral.
GCAGUGGUGAUUCAGUGGUAGAAUUCUUGCCUUCCAUGUGGAAGACUUGGGUUUGAUUCCUGAUCAGUGCA